UACGAAGGGUGCAAGCGUUACUCGGAAUUACUGGGCGUAAAGGGUGCGUAGGUGGUUGUUUAAGUCUGCUGUGAAAGCCCCGGGCUCAACCUGGGAAUGGCAGUGGAUACUGGACAGCUAGAGUGCGGUAGAGGGGGGUGGAAUUCCCGGUGUAGUGGUGAAAUGCGUAGAGAUCGGGAGGAACACCUGUGGCGAAGGCGGCCCCCUGGGCCGGCCCUGACACUGAGACGCGAAGGCGUGGGGAGCGAACGGG
Molecule: ribosomal RNA, 253 nt
Filed under: uncultured bacterium
Lineage: Bacteria
Description: partial 16S ribosomal RNA
Rfam family: Bacterial small subunit ribosomal RNA
Source: RNAcentral